CCUACGGGAGGCAGCAGUGAGGAAUAUUGGUCAAUGGGCGCUAGCCUGAACCAGCCAAGUAGCGUGAAGGAUGACUGCCCUAUGGGUUGUAAACUUCUUUUAUAUGGGAAUAAAGUGCAGUAUGUAUACUGCUUUGCAUGUACCUUAUGAAUACGGAUCGGCUAACUCCGUGCCAGCAGCCGCGGUAAUACGGAGGAUUCGAGCGUUAUCCGGAUUUAUUGGGUUUAAAGGGAGCGUAGGCGGGUUGGUAAGUCAGUUGUGAAAGUUUGCGGCUCAACCGUAAAAUUGCAGUUGAUACUGGCAUCCUUGAGUACAGUAGAGGUAGGCGGAAUUCGUGGUGUAGCGGUGAAAUGCUUAGAUAUCACGAAGAACUCCGAUUGCGAAGGCAGCCUGCUGGACUGUAACUGACGCUGAUGCUCGAAAGUGUGGGUAGCAAACAGGAUUAGAUACCCGGGUAGUC
Molecule: ribosomal RNA, 460 nt
Filed under: uncultured bacterium
Lineage: Bacteria
Description: partial 16S ribosomal RNA
Rfam family: Bacterial small subunit ribosomal RNA
Source: RNAcentral